This 4976-nucleotide long non-coding RNA is filed under the name Homo sapiens (human). RNAcentral describes it as "HSALNT0059742". The record is from RNAcentral. Lineage: Eukaryota; Metazoa; Chordata; Mammalia; Primates; Hominidae.
CUCAGCUGCAGGACACAAACAAUCUAGGGCUGCUGGGCUGGAGCUGCCGGGGCCAGGAGGAAGGUGGGGAUGGGGGCAUGGCCUGGAGGGGCAGCUCCUGGGGGCACUCACCGUGGAAGGGCUCUGGCAGAGCUGUUCUGUAGCAUCAGUGACACCUGGCAACUGCAUUCGCCAACCCGGUUCCUGAAGAAUUCCAAAGAUCAAUAAAGAUCAAGAGGCCCUCUGGGCAAAGGGCCUGUUCAGUGUGGACUUGAUCACAGGCUGCUGGCCAGCGGGGAAGAUGGAAGUCGCCGGCUUGACUGAGACAUUCACCCCAGCCUUAGAUUUAGGGCAGGACCCUCUCACUGUGUGGUCACCCUUUAUUUUCUCAGCUCUUAUUUAAAAAGAAGAAGAAAAAAAGAAUGUCUGGACAACAGCUAAGGCAGGCAUCCAGAAAUAGGAACACUUUUCUUAGAACACAGCCCAGAUGCAAACAUCAGGAGCAGACACUGCCCAGAUGGCGGCUUUACCCCAGCUGGACUCCUCUGAGGCUUUGGUGGUGGACAGCCCUGUGCCGCAAGCUGGAGUAAGCCGAUUCUCCCCAUGGGGGAAGCAGCAUUCCCUGUUCCUGCCUCUCUGCAAUCUCAGCGAGUCCCCAGCCUUACAGAGCUUCAUGCAGAUGGGCUCAAAUUCCUAGAUGCUACGGGAACGUCACCAACUCCAGCGCACUCCCCUUUAAGCCUGUGGCAGUCUCCUCUUCAACCCCACCUUCUCUGGGUUCUUCCCACAGCCCCUGUUUCCUGGGGGUUUGGCAAAGCCAAGUCACCCUGUGGGUCUCAGCCAUUGGGGACUAAAAGCCUAUCUGCCUCUCCCUCCCCUGGGAGCUCAGAAGUAUGCAUGAAAGGGUGGCCUGGGAGCUGCCUCCCACCUGGCAGCUCACUGGUUCCACCUGCAGCUGUGGAGGGGAUCCUGGCCUCAGGCAAGUCUGCCUCCGUCUGAAGCCCCACUUCCUCAUCGGUCUCUACGGGGAGUCGUGGUAUCAUCACAGGACUUUGGGUAGUUUUAAAGAGAUAAUAGGUAAAAAUACUUUGUACAACCAUUCAUUAUCAAUGAGAACAUUUGUACGAGCCUAGCAUGAGAACUGACUCACAUCUAUCCACUUGGGCUCAAUUACUCAAUGGGUUUAUCAGCAGUCAAAGAACCAAUGGAGUCUGGGCUUCACCCAAGGAUUAUGGACUCAUUUUUAUAGGACCUGAGGCAAAUACUAUUAGGAAUACAAAUGCGUUGCUUAAAAAUAUCAUGGGAUAUAUCUCAAAGUAAAUUGAGGACAAGCUUUCAUUGCACCCCCUCCAGGAGAUGAGUGAGUGAACUUGGGGGAAACCGGCCGAUCGGCAGACAUUUAGUUCGGUGUCACUCAUUGCCCCCGGUCCUGUGUUUUGUUCCCCAAAGCCCUACAGCAAGAAAGAAGGGAAGAUGGAAAUGAUUGGGAGUGAAUGUUCAGAACGAGCCUGUUCUCAGACCGGCAAGGUGGGACCCAGUCCCAACUCACCAUUCCACUGUACUGGUGUAGAGACCAGGAGAGACUUAACUAACGGGAAGUGACUUGGCUAACAUCAUGGGGCCAGUGUGGGCAGACCCAGAGCUCAUGCCCAGGCCUUCUGAUGACAAGGCCGGGAUGUUACGUAGGCGUCCCUUCAAAGGGAACCAGUCUCCUCCAACGGUGCCCAUGGUGACCGCUCCAGGACAAACACACUGUCAGCUGACCCACAUCCUAGAUCCUUGACAACUGAGAAAAACUAAAGCAGAACAGAGACAAGCCAGAAUGGAAAAGGAUUGAUCGGGCUGUCGUCCAAUGGGAAAGACAAGCACAAUGACUAAGAAUAAGCCCAAGCAGAUUGCUGACAAGUAAAAACGAUGCCAUGUAGACGAAGCUGUUAAUAGGACUUAAGAAAGAGCAAGAAUGGAGAAAGGGAAGAACAGAGAGAAGAGAAAGAAAAAGAGGCAAUGUGAGGAAGAGAGAGGGGGAAAAGGGAAGCAAAGGAAGGGGGAGAGAAUGAGAGACAGACAGAUAUACGCACUCUCCCCUUUAUGAUUCUACUGACCCAUGGAGUUUUUCCGUCCUUGCCAUUUUGGCUGUUUUUGACUCACUAGAAGUUGUUUUUGAAGCCAGUUCCUAGUCAUGAAACUAAACAUGAAAUGAUCGCUCUGGUGAAGCAAAAGCAUCAAACAAAUGACCUAUCAGGAUCCAAGAGCAGCCAUGCAGAAAGCCCAUGGGCUGAAGCAGGUGGUGGCCUGGUGCUGCUGCUGAUCACCUGGACUACUGUGGGCAGCUGACAUCACCUCCUGAGCAUCACUUUCUUCAUCUGUAAAGUGAAUUCGGAAGUGUCAAGUGGAGUUGUUGUGAGAAUUAAAUAAAACAAGCCAGCUUUUCUAGCCAAUUAGACUUUCCUAUCAAACAAUUCCUUCUUAAAAACAAAUUGAUAGUGGUUUUACUUUAAAAACCUAAUAUAAAUUGAUACCCAACAUGGCGUUUUGGAAAGCUUUUAUUUAGAGGAAGAGUUAGGAGCAGUUUGCUACCUCUUGCACUAAUUCUUCUUAUAAAAUAACCAGUAAAGCCUCUUCUUCAAACCCAGCACCAGGAGUGAGGCCUUUACCUCCUCUAGGACCUGACACUAGGAACCCACUGUUGCCUUUGUCCUGGUGGCUGACCAGGAUCUGCCAUCUCCUUCUGCACUACAAUAAUUCUCCUGUCUUCCCUUCACAGCCCUUCCUUUUCUUUCCGUUGUUUUAGUAGGAAAAACAACUAAAUUCUGAAUUUCUCCUUAUAAGUGUGUUUUUCUACCUGCCAACAUUUGCUGGUCAACUUGCUACUUUCUGAAGCCCCAAGGUCCUGGAUCCAAAUUUGCAUUCAACACAUGUUUGCCUUAAUCUUGGAUCUACCAAAUAUUUUCCUUAGGCUUUGAACAUGAGCUGUAUUCCUUAGUUAUUACAAUGCAAAAUGCCAUUCCAACAGCAAUUCUGAUUCACUCCAAACCCUGUUAUACUAUGGAAAUUCAACAGAUCACCAAUUGAGGGGGCACCAUGGAAGCACAGUGCCCCCAUCUUUCUUUAUUUGGAGUUCAAAAUCCAGCAUGGUCCAGGGAUCACCACCAGCCUCCUCCUUUCCCUAAAUUCCAGGAUUGUUAACUCUGGAGGAUUCAUCAAAGAAGAGUUACAUUCUCCCUGCUGACACGCCACACAGCCCCUUCCCAUUUCCAGGGGGUUUGUGCAAGCUGUAAAUCCCCGGGGCAUCUGAAUUCCCCUUAAACAAAAGUCUGUCUCCUAACCAAACAGAACCUUCUUGAAGUCAGCAAAAUGGCUACUUUGUGGCAUUAAAAGGAUUUUUCCUCCCAUAGCCUUGUUUUCUUUUGGCCUCCCUUCCUCCCAGAACUUAAGAAGCAAAUGGGAAGAGAAGUGUGCGAGGAAAAGAAUGAAAGGAACAAUGACGUAUAAUAUCCCAAAAAAGAUCUCUGACCAGUAAUGAUAGGGUUGCUAGCUGGGAAGCAAGGAUCACUGAAACCACAGCCUUUCCACUGUCUUAGAAGCUAUAAUCACACUCUAAACAUAAAGGUAUGGCAUCCAAACCACCCACUGUUCCCUCCCAGUGCGGGCCUGGAAGCCACACUCUCAGUUACACUGUCAUCACAUGGGUCACAUUUUGCCACUAGGAGCUCAAUCCUGCGAUUCUGGAUAGCAUUCUUGAUCUGGGUCUCUAUGUAAUUAUGACUGACUAUGGGCUGUAGAGGUGGAGAGUUAUAAAGCUCUAUAAUGGCCCUAUUAGUAAAAUGAGGCUCAAAUUCUAUGGCAUGGGCACAAACGUACAUGUAUAUGCUCAGAAGUCUUUCUGUAACACAAAGAACCCAUGUGGUACACAAACCCAAUUCUGUACUCAACCUACAUAAAAUGAAAAUAUUGGUUAUAAAUUUUAACAUGUAAUUAAUUGCUUGCCUUCUUACAGUUUAAAGGCUUGUGGACAGAUGUUUUGAAUAAACUAAGCUUCUUAAUAUAUAUAAAAAAGGCAAGUUAAAACUGGUAUUUAUUCUUCUUCAAUAUAUUUUUCUGUAGCCAAUGUAAGUAUUUAAGAAGUUGUCAGUGUUUUUAAGCUUGAGGAGGUCAGGAUCCAUACGUUAUGUUAACUGGAUAGAUUGUAUAGUGUCCAAAGUACCUGUGCAUAACCAGGGAAGACAAAGGAGGUGGCUCCAGGCUGCCCCGCAGAGUGCCUGGUAUUAAUCUGAAAACAAACUGUGCCUCUACUCAUUGCCAAGCAAACGCUGACUUCACUGAUGCCUGUUGUCUUCAUUAGAAGCUCUGCAUCAAAACAAAUACUCUAAUAAAUAUGCUUGUUAUAUUUUAUUAUCUAUUCUAGAGAUGAUCUUUUCAUCUUUUUAACCUACCCACAUUUUAUGUCCUUAGAUGCCUUAAACAGGCCCACUAGGCCUUCAGUUAAAUAAACAAACCGUUAGGCUGAGAAACUAUGUCAAAUGGGCACAACUGGCAGGCUAUUAAUAAAUCUAGACACUUAAGAAUUUUAGCCUUGAUGGAGAUACUCCAGGGGGAAAAAAUUUUAAAUAUUCUAGCCCAAGGAAGCCCCCAGCAAUGACUCAGUCCAAACGCUGUGAAAUAUAUACUGUAUUUCAGAUAUUCCUGGGCUCUGCAGGAAUUUGAAUUAAUCAUCCUGGAUCAGGACUCAUCCUGGGUCAGGAGGAAAGACAUUCAUUGCUUGGUUAACUAUUGGGGAAUUUUUUUUCCCUAGCCUGUGUUGGGGAAAGAAGGAAUAUUUGUUGAGGGACUCUUUUUUUUUUUUUUUUUUUUUUUUUUUUUUUUUUGAGACAGGGUCUUGCUCUGUCAUCCAGGCUGGAGUCCAGUGGUGUGAUUACGGCUCACUGCAACUGCAGUCUCGACCUCGCAGGCUCAAGCAAUCCUCCUGCCUCAGCCUCCUGAGUAGCUGGGACUAGAGG